GACGAACGCUGGCGGCGUGCCUAACACAUGCAAGUCGAGCGAGGGAUUUAUGACGGAUCCCUUCGGGAUGAAGACAUAAAUCACCUAGCGGCGGACGGGUGAGUAACGCGUGAGGAACCUACCUCCUACAAGGGGAUAGCCUCGGGAAACUGGGAUUAAUACCCUAUGACACUUAAGGAUCGCAUGAUCUUUAGGUUAAAGCGAUAUAGCGGUAGGAGAUGGCCUCGCGUCCCAUUAGCUAGUUGGUGAGGUAACGGCUUACCAAGGCGACGAUGGGUAGCCGGCCUGAGAGGGUGAACGGCCACACUGGAACUGAGACACGGUCCAGACUCCUACGGGAGGCAGCAGUGGGGAAUAUUGCACAAUGGGCGAAAGCCUGAUGCAGCGACGCCGCGUGAGCGAAGAAGGCCUUCGGGUCGUAAAGCUCUGUCCUAUGGGACGAUAAUGACGGUACCAUAGGAGGAAGCCCCGGCUAACUACGUGCCAGCAGCCGCGGUAAUACGUAGGGGGCGAGCGUUGUCCGGAAUUACUGGGCGUAAAGGGUACGUAGGCGGCUAGGUAAGUCAGAUGUGAAAUCCAUGGGCUCAACCCAUGUAAGCAUUUGAAACUGCUUAGCUUGAGUUAAGGAGAGGAAAGUGGAAUUCCUGGUGUAGCGGUGAAAUGCGUAGAUAUCAGGAGGAAUACCAGUGGCGAAGGCGACUUUCUGGCCUUAAACUGACGCUGAGGUACGAAAGCGUGGGGAGCAAACAGGAUUAGAUACCCUGGUAGUCCACGCCGUAAACGAUGAGUGCUAGGUGUCGGGGGUUUAACCUUCGGUGCCGCAGUUAACACAUUAAGCACUCCGCCUGGGGAGUACGUUCGCAAGAAUGA
This 870-nucleotide ribosomal RNA is filed under the name uncultured Bacillota bacterium. RNAcentral's name for it is "bacterial SSU rRNA". It matches the Rfam family "Bacterial small subunit ribosomal RNA", at positions 28 to 897 of the family's 1533-position model. Lineage: Bacteria; Bacillati; Bacillota. The record is from RNAcentral.